UACGAAGGGGGCUAGCGUUGCUCGGAAUUACUGGGCGUAAAGGGCGCGUAGGCGGAUGUUUAAGUCAGAGGUGAAAGCCCAGGGCUCAACCUUGGAACUGCCUUUGAUACUGGGCAUCUUGAGUAUGGGAGAGGUGAGUGGAACUCCGAGUGUAGAGGUGAAAUUCGUAGAUAUUCGGAAGAACACCAGUGGCGAAGGCGACUCACUGGCCCAUUACUGACGCUGAGGCGCGAAAGCGUGGGGAGCAAACAGG
Molecule: ribosomal RNA, 253 nt
Filed under: uncultured bacterium
Lineage: Bacteria
Also listed under: 1 other name
Description: partial 16S ribosomal RNA
Rfam family: Bacterial small subunit ribosomal RNA
Source: RNAcentral